RNAcentral lists this ribosomal RNA (427 nucleotides) under uncultured bacterium. RNAcentral's name for it is "bacterial SSU rRNA". It matches the Rfam family "Bacterial small subunit ribosomal RNA", at positions 56 to 527 of the family's 1533-position model. The record is from RNAcentral.
UGCAGUCGAGCGCACCUUCGGGUGAGCGGCGGACGGGUUAGUAACGCGUGGGAACAUACCCUUCACUACGGAAUAGCCUCGGGAAACUGAGAGUAAUACCGUAUACGUCCUCCGGGAGAAAGAUUUAUCGGUGAAGGAUUGGCCCGCGUUAGAUUAGAUAGUUGGUGGGGGUAACGGCCUACCAAGUCUACGAUCUAUAGCUGGUUUGAGAGGAUGAUCAGCAACACUGGGGACUGAGACACGGCCCAGACUCCUACGGGAGGGAGCAGUGGGGGAAUCUUAGACAAUGGGCGAAAGCCUGAUCUAGCGAUGCCGCGUGGAGUGACGAAGGCCUUAGGGUCGUAAAGCUCUUUUCGCCAGGGAUGAUAAUGACAGUACCUGGUAAAGAAACCCCGGCUAACUCCGUGCCAGCAGCCGCGGUAAUACG